Molecule: ribosomal RNA, 2922 nt
Filed under: Campylobacter jejuni
Lineage: Bacteria; Pseudomonadati; Campylobacterota; Epsilonproteobacteria; Campylobacterales; Campylobacteraceae
Description: 23S ribosomal RNA
Rfam family: Bacterial large subunit ribosomal RNA
Source: RNAcentral
UAAAAAAAGGUAAGCUACUAAGAGCGAAUGGUGGAUGCCUUGACUGGUAAAGGCGAUGAAGGACGUACUAGACUGCGAUAAGCUACGGGGAGCUGUCAAGAAGCUUUGAUCCGUAGAUUUCCGAAUGGGGCAACCCAAUGUAUAGAGAUAUACAUUACCUAUAUAGGAGCGAACGAGGGGAAUUGAAACAUCUUAGUACCCUCAGGAAAAGAAAUCAAUAGAGAUUGCGUCAGUAGCGGCGAGCGAAAGCGCAAGAGGGCAAACCCAGUGCUUGCACUGGGGGUUGUAGGACUGCAAUGUGCAAGAGGUAAGUUUAGCAGAACAUUCUGGAAAGUAUAACCAUAGAGGGUGAUAGUCCCGUAUGCGAAAAACAAACCUUAGCUAGCAGUAUCCUGAGUAGGGCGGGACACGAGGAAUCCUGUCUGAAUCCGGGUCGACCACGAUCCAACCCUAAAUACUAAUACCAGAUCGAUAGUGCACAAGUACCGUGAGGGAAAGGUGAAAAGAACUGAGGUGAUCAGAGUGAAAUAGAACCUGAAACCAUUUGCUUACAAUCAUUCAGAGCCCUAUGUAGCAAUACAGGGUGAUGGACUGCCUUUUGCAUAAUGAGCCUGCGAGUUGUGGUGUCUGGCAAGGUUAAGCAAACGCGAAGCCGUAGCGAAAGCGAGUCUGAAUAGGGCGCUUAGUCAGAUGCUGCAGACCCGAAACGAAGUGAUCUAUCCAUGAGCAAGUUGAAGCUAGUGUAAGAACUAGUGGAGGACUGAACCCAUAGGCGUUGAAAAGCCCCGGGAUGACUUGUGGAUAGGGGUGAAAGGCCAAUCAAACUUCGUGAUAGCUGGUUCUCUCCGAAAUAUAUUUAGGUAUAGCGUUGUGUCGUAAUAUAAGGGGGUAGAGCACUGAAUGGGCUAGGGCAUACACCAAUGUACCAAACCCUAUCAAACUCCGAAUACCUUAUAUGUAAUCACAGCAGUCAGGCGGCGAGUGAUAAAAUCCGUCGUCAAGAGGGAAACAACCCAGACUACCAGCUAAGGUCCCUAAGUCUUACUUAAGUGGAAAACGAUGUGAAGUUACUUAAACAACCAGGAGGUUGGCUUAGAAGCAGCCAUCCUUUAAAGAAAGCGUAAUAGCUCACUGGUCUAGUGAUUUUGCGCGGAAAAUAUAACGGGGCUAAAGUAAGUACCGAAGCUGUAGACUUAGUUUACUAAGUGGUAGGAGAGCGUUCUAUUUGCGUCGAAGGUAUACCGGUAAGGAGUGCUGGAGCGAAUAGAAGUGAGCAUGCAGGCAUGAGUAGCGAUAAUUAAUGUGAGAAUCAUUAACGCCGUAAACCCAAGGUUUCCUACGCGAUGCUCGUCAUCGUAGGGUUAGUCGGGUCCUAAGUCGAGUCCGAAAGGGGUAGACGAUGGCAAAUUGGUUAAUAUUCCAAUACCAACAUUAGUGUGCGAUGGAAGGACGCUUAGGGCUAAGGGGGCUAGCGGAUGGAAGUGCUAGUCUAAGGUCGUAGGAGGUUAUACAGGCAAAUCCGUAUAACAACUCCGAGAACUGAAAGGCUUUUUGAAGUCUUCGGAUGGAUAGAAGAACCCCUGAUGCCGUCGAGCCAAGAAAAGUUUCUAAGUUUAGCUAAUGUUGCCCGUACCGUAAACCGACACAGGUGGGUGGGAUGAGUAUUCUAAGGCGCGUGGAAGAACUCUCUUUAAGGAACUCUGCAAAAUAGCACCGUAUCUUCGGUAUAAGGUGUGGUUAGCUUUGUAUUAGGAUUUACUCCGAAAGCAAGGAAACUUACAACAAAGAGUCCCUCCCGACUGUUUACCAAAAACACAGCACUCUGCUAACUCGUAAGAGGAUGUAUAGGGUGUGACGCCUGCCCGGUGCUCGAAGGUUAAUUGAUGGGGUUAGCAUUAGCGAAGCUCUUGAUCGAAGCCCGAGUAAACGGCGGCCGUAACUAUAACGGUCCUAAGGUAGCGAAAUUCCUUGUCGGUUAAAUACCGACCUGCAUGAAUGGCGUAACGAGAUGGGAGCUGUCUCAAAGAGGGAUCCAGUGAAAUUGUAGUGGAGGUGAAAAUUCCUCCUACCCGCGGCAAGACGGAAAGACCCCGUGGACCUUUACUACAGCUUGACACUGCUACUUGGAUAAGAAUGUGCAGGAUAGGUGGGAGGCUUUGAGUAUAUGACGCCAGUUGUAUAUGAGCCAUUGUUGAGAUACCACUCUUUCUUAUUUGGGUAGCUAACCAGCUUGAGUUAUCCUCAAGUGGGACAAUGUCUGGUGGGUAGUUUGACUGGGGCGGUCGCCUCCCAAAUAAUAACGGAGGCUUACAAAGGUUGGCUCAGAACGGUUGGAAAUCGUUCGUAGAGUAUAAAGGUAUAAGCCAGCUUAACUGCAAGACAUACAAGUCAAGCAGAGACGAAAGUCGGUCUUAGUGAUCCGGUGGUUCUGUGUGGAAGGGCCAUCGCUCAAAGGAUAAAAGGUACCCCGGGGAUAACAGGCUGAUCUCCCCCAAGAGCUCACAUCGACGGGGAGGUUUGGCACCUCGAUGUCGGCUCAUCGCAUCCUGGGGCUGGAGCAGGUCCCAAGGGUAUGGCUGUUCGCCAUUUAAAGCGGUACGCGAGCUGGGUUCAGAACGUCGUGAGACAGUUCGGUCCCUAUCUGCCGUGGGCGUAAGAAGAUUGAAGAGAUUUGACCCUAGUACGAGAGGACCGGGUUGAACAAACCACUGGUGUAGCUGUUGUUCUGCCAAGAGCAUCGCAGCGUAGCUAAGUUUGGAAAGGAUAAACGCUGAAAGCAUCUAAGCGUGAAGCCAACUCUAAGAUGAAUCUUCUCUAAGCUCUCUAGAAGACUACUAGUUUGAUAGGCUGGGUGUGUAAUGGAUGAAAGUCCUUUAGCUGACCAGUACUAAUAGAGCGUUUGGCUUAUCUUUAAUAAAGCAU